AGCGGACAAAAACAAAAAUUUCAAUUAGAUUCAUUCCUAAGCUUGCUUUGUUACAGCAAGAUGAUCAGUCCGAGAGUGCUGGAGAGAAGAGAAAGCGGUAAACACCUCUCUUAUUCGGUCACCGAGAAGUCGGACGACUCUUCAGUAACCUAGGGUGAUCCGACCCCUUCGACGCUUUUUUCGCUGUAUACAUAGUAGGGCCCCAGAACGCUAAAAGGUGGGGGAACUAGAGUUGUCAUGAUAGAAAAGAUAACUAAAUAAAUGACUAUAAGGAACCAACGACUCUCUCUUCUUAAACAACCUAUAUCCUCCACACUUAAUCAGCAUUUGAUAGAUUAUCCAACCCCGAGCAAUCUUAGUUAUUGGUGGGGGUUCGGUUCGUUAGCUGGUAUUUGUUUAGUCAUUCAGAUAGUUACUGGCGUUUUUUUAGCUAUGCAUUACACACCUCAUGUGGAUCUAGCUUUCAACAUCGUACAACACAUUAUGAGAGAUGUUGAAGGGGGCUGGUUGCUCCGUUAUAUGCAUGCUAAUGGGGCAAGUAUGUUUUUCAUUGUGGUUCACCUUCAUAUUUUUCGUGGUCUAUAUCAUGCCAGUUAUAGCAGUCCUAGGGAAUUUGUUCGGUGUCUCGGAGUUGUAAUCUUCCUAUUAAUGAUUGUGACAGCUUUUAUAGGAUAUGUACUACCUUGGGGUCAGAUGAGCUUUUGGGGAGCUACAGUAAUUACAAGCUUAGCUAGCGCCAUACCUGUAGUAGGAGAUUGGUUGCUCCGUUAUAUGCAUGCUAAUGGGGCAAGUAUGUUUUCAUUGUGGUUCACCUUCAUAUUUUCCGUGGUCUAUAUCAUGCCAGUUAUAGCAGUCCUAGGGAAUUUGUUUGGUGUCUCGGAGUUGUAAUCUUCCUAUUAAUGAUUGUGACAGCUUUUAUAGGAUAUGUACUACCUUGGGGUCAGAUGAGCUUUUGGGGAGCUACAGUAAUUACAAGCUUAGCUAGCGCCAUACCUGUAGUAGGAGAUAUUAAUGAUUGUGACAGCUUUUAUAGGAUAUGUACUACCUUGGGGUCAGAUGAGCUUUUGGGGAGCUACAGUAAUUACAAGCUUAGCUAGCGCCAUACAUGUAGUAGGAGAUAGCAUAGUAACUUGGCUUUGGGGUGGGUUCUCCGUGGACAAUGCCACCUUAAAUCGUUUUCUAGUCUUCAUGAUUUACUCCCCUCUAUUUUAGUAGGCAUCAGUCUUCUUCAUCUGGCCGCAUUGCAUCAAUAUGGAUCCAAUAAUCAAUACAUUCAAAGAUGGAUAAAAUUGCUUCUUACCCUUAUUUUUAUGUAAAGGAUCUAGUAGGUUGGGUAGCUUUUGCUAUCUUUUUUUCCAUUUGGAUUUUUUAUGCUCCUAAUGUUUUGGGGCAUCCCGACAAUUAUAUACCUGCUAAUCCGAUGUCCACCCCGCCUCAUAUUGUGCCAGAAUGGUAUUUCCUACCGAUCCAUGCCAUUCUUCGUAGUAUACCUGACAAAGCGGGAGGUGUAGCCGCAAUAGCACCAGCUUUUAUAUGUCUGUUGGCUUUACCCUUUUUCAAAAGUAUGUAUGUACGUAGUUCAAGUUUUUGCCCGAUUCACCAAGGAAUAUUUUGGUUGCUUUUGGCGGAUUGCUUACUACUAGGUUGGAUCAGAUGUCAACCUGUGGAGGCACCCUUUGUUACUAUUGGACAAAUUUCUCCAUUAGUUUUCUUCUUGUACUUUGCCAUAAAGCCCAUUCUAGGACGAGUUGGAAGAGGAAUUCCUAAUUCAUACACGGAUGAGACUGAUCACACCUGAUUAGUGAGAAAUUCUGACACCAAUCAUUUACGAGUGAGUAUUACACCAAGAAUUUACAAGCGGAUCGAGGAAUGAAGGGAGAGGAAUUAGAAUAGAAAGAAAGAGACGGAUUUCGAAUUAGAGUAAGGGCACGCUAAGACAUUCCUUUUUGUGCUUUCGAUCUGCUUACUUUGAAUAAAAAUAAAAAAAAUAAUAGAUAGGCGGAAAGGCUUUACACAAGACCACAGAGCGAGAGAGAGCCUUCGCUUACCUGCUUAACCGUACCCUCCUAUCGUACCUAUAUAGCCUUUCCUUCAGUUACAUCCAGUUUCAGUUCUACUUCC
Molecule: long non-coding RNA, 2121 nt
Filed under: Nicotiana benthamiana
Lineage: Eukaryota; Viridiplantae; Streptophyta; Magnoliopsida; Solanales; Solanaceae
Description: long non-coding RNA (NBEN_LNC031491)
Source: RNAcentral